Molecule: small nucleolar RNA, 129 nt
Organism: Pygocentrus nattereri (red-bellied piranha)
Lineage: Eukaryota; Metazoa; Chordata; Actinopteri; Characiformes; Serrasalmidae
Gene: SNORA63
Rfam family: Small nucleolar RNA SNORA63
About the family: E3 belongs to the H/ACA class of snoRNAs and is involved in the processing of eukaryotic pre-rRNA and has regions of complementarity to 18S rRNA.
Source: Ensembl
GUGCAGGAAUAGUUAUGAAUCAGCUGAUGCAGUGCUGGUUUGUCGUUCCCCCUGCAUAAAUUAACUUGUUUCUUACUAUCCUUGACUGUCUGCAUCCCACGGCUUUCAGGGACGCUUGGUCUCAUACAU